RNAcentral lists this ribosomal RNA (1287 nucleotides) under Triticum aestivum (bread wheat). RNAcentral's name for it is "partial small subunit ribosomal RNA". Lineage: Eukaryota; Viridiplantae; Streptophyta; Magnoliopsida; Poales; Poaceae. The record is from RNAcentral.
CCAACCCUUCUACGUCUUUUCGUACGCGUUCGCUUCUCCGUUCGUGUAUCCAACGAAAUUGUUUUUCGUUUUACGAUCGUCUUGUUUUGAAUACGUUGCACUCAGAAGUAUGAAGAUAACGGGGACGUUCAUAAAAAUGUGUCGGUUUGACAACAUCGUGAGUGUUAACAAAUGGACAUGGUACAAAGAAAUUAAUUGAUCCUGGAUAGGUAGGUCUAUAAUGUAAACUUCUACCUAAACCAUUGAACCAAUUUAGGACAGUUUCAAGGAGCUCACUUGCGUGGUUUGUCUAACUCAGUCUUGAUAGUCUUUCAAAACAGAGGGAACGAAGUAAGCAACUACCAUGCGUACACUAAUUGAGAAAACUUCUCCUUAAACUCCUAUUAUGGACCUCGUGUGAGUCACUUUUACAACGAAAUUGAUACAGACUUACACAACAGAGUGAACGAAGUAAGUUACCUUUAAGUUCCACAAAACGAACGUGUCCGCAUAUAUAUUUGACAUUAGGGCACUCUUAGGAAUGAUGUCGUUCAAACCAAUUUUGAAGACCGCUACCUUUGUUCUAACUACUAUUGAACGCCCAACCAUAACCGUUACGCGUAGUAACAAACACGGAAAACAAACAGGCAAAUACUGUGACCAAAUUGGAAUAGUAACGACUAACUUCACGUGGAAUUAUUAUUUGUUGUACAGUGCCCCUGUAACUUUGUAAUACUAGAUGCGAUAUUACAACGUCAACAACUCUAGUACCCAAGGAUGUCAAGAACACGUCACCUACACCUUCUCGCAUAAAGAAAGUGGGGAUUAUAACUCCAAAAUCGACAUCCCGCAGAGAAACUUGCAGGUUUUAAUUACCGGAGUUCUCCCCACAAUUAACUGUCUUUUUCGUUUGAACGAACGCUUCUCGAACCCUAAAGGUGAACAUUUUAGUGGUUCCGACCCUAACCUCCCGGAGAAUAACUACGAACACCCUUAAACUAACCGUACUUAAAGAAGGUACUACUUCUUUGAGGUAUGGAUGGCUCCCUUUUUUAAGUCCUUCAGAACCCUAUAAAACUACUUGUUACGUACAGCUUACUGUCAACCAGACUUGGUUCUCUAGCAAUAAUAUAUGGUCGAAAGAUGAGAUAUGGCAUACCAAACAAGCCUCUACUCAUGAAACUAUUGUUUUUCCUACGUAUAAGAGGCAGAGGCAACAAAAAAUAACAAGUGCUCCCACGUAUACUUCAGCCCACGUCUUUGAAGUACAAGCAUACACAGUCGUAAUACCCGAUACCGAUAAGUACU